RNAcentral lists this ribosomal RNA (460 nucleotides) under uncultured bacterium. RNAcentral describes it as "partial 16S ribosomal RNA". It matches the Rfam family "Bacterial small subunit ribosomal RNA", at positions 338 to 795 of the family's 1533-position model. The record is from RNAcentral.
CCUACGGGUGGCUGCAGUGAGGAAUAUUGGUCAAUGGACGCUAGUCUGAACCAGCCAUGCCGCGUGCAGGAUGACUGCUCUAUGAGUUGUAAACUGCUUUUGUAUGAGGAUAAACAGCAGUAUGUGUAGUGGCUUGCAAGUAUAAUAUGAAUAAGGAUCGGCUAACUCCGUGCCAGCAGCCGCGGUAAUACGGAGGAUCCAAGCGUUAUCCGGAUUUAUUGGGUUUAAAGGGUGCGUAGGCGGUUUGAUAAGUUAGAGGUGAAAUACCGGGGCUCAACCCCGGUACUGCGUCUAAUACUGGUGAUCUAGAGAGUACUUGCGGUAGGCGGAAUGCAUGGUGUAGCGGUGAAAUGCUUAGAGAUCAUACAGAACCCCGAUUGCGAAGGCAGCUUACCAAUCUAUAUCUGACGUUGAGGCACGAAAGCGUGGGUAGCGAACAGGAUUAGAUACCCGAGUAGUC